This 423-nucleotide ribosomal RNA is filed under the name Triticum aestivum (bread wheat). Its description in RNAcentral is "partial small subunit ribosomal RNA". The record is from RNAcentral. Lineage: Eukaryota; Viridiplantae; Streptophyta; Magnoliopsida; Poales; Poaceae.
AUGGCUCAAGAUACUAUCAAAUUGUGUGACUUCACCAAUAACAACAAUAAUGAUUUCCUUAGCACUCCGAUUGCUCCUCUUACCAAUGCUGAAUCUUGUGAAAUUAAUACCGCUUUGUUGAAUCUUGUUAUGAAAGAUCAAUUCGCCGGCCUUCCUAAUGAAGAUGCUGCUACUCAUCUGAAUAGCUUCGUUGAUUUAUGUGAUAUGCAAAAGAAAAAAGAUGUCAAUAAUGAUGUCGUUAAAUUGAAGCUAUUUCCUUUUUCGCUUAGAGAUCGUGCUAAAGCUUGGUUUUCGUCUUUGCCUAGGAAUAGUAUUGAUUCAUGGAACAAGUGCAAAGAUUCUUUUAUCUCUAAGUAUUUUCCUCCCGCUAAGAUCAUCUCUCUUAGAAACGAUAUUAUGAACUUUAAACAACUUGAUCAUUAA